RNAcentral lists this ribosomal RNA (253 nucleotides) under uncultured bacterium. RNAcentral's name for it is "partial 16S ribosomal RNA". It matches the Rfam family "Bacterial small subunit ribosomal RNA", at positions 524 to 776 of the family's 1533-position model. The record is from RNAcentral.
UACGAAGGGGGCUAGCGUUGCUCGGAAUCACUGGGCGUAAAGCGCACGUAGGCGGAUUCUUAAGUCAGGGGUGAAAUCCUGGAGCUCAACUCCAGAACUGCCUUUGAUACUGAGGGUCUUGAGUUCGGGAGAGGAGACUGGAAUUUACGGUGUAGCAGUGAAAUGCGUAGAGAUCGUAAGGAAGACCAGUGGCGAAGGCGGGUCUCUGGACAGUUCCUGACACUGAGGCACGAAGGCCAGGGGAGCAAACGGG